CCCUGAUUUUCGCAAAAAUAUUUUAGCUUUUUGUUUUGGAGUUUUCCUUGGUGUUUGCCUUCGCUUCGACAUUUUAACAAUUGUUUCGAGUUGCACAAGUGGCAAGAAUCAUCCUGGCUAGUGAAAGACAGGGAACGAAUAUUCAAACCUCACGGAAAUUUUGGAAAAUCGUUAUUUGUAAGUAAUGGUAAAAAUAUACUGUUUAUAUAUGUUCAAUAUUAAUUUGUGAUAGAGUAGCUAGCCGCUAGGUCAAAACAAAGCGAAAUAAACAGUCUAUUUGUACUGUGUAGUGGACAAUUUUAGCAACUGGUGUAUGUAAUUAGGUUGCCCAAACUAUAUUAAUACGAGAAACAGUCUUCCUCGAAAGAAAAUGGUUGAAAUUUCAGAUUUUAGUUUCAUUUGUUAUUUCAAAUAAUUUUUACGAUAUAAAAUGCCAGUUGACCACGAUCUGCUUCAUGAUACUACUUAGUAAAAUUAAAGUGCUUUCUAUUUAUAUUAGUAUUGCUAUAGAGGAAGACCUUUUUAAGCCAGAACUAUCAUGGCUUUGAAUGUUUUUAAUCCAUGUACUAAUAUUAAAUACUGGCCACUGAUGGUAAUCAGGCAAUGAAAUUAUAAAUAUGUGUAGAAUUAUCAAGUCUAUCAAGAUUCAAAAAUUGACAGUUCAAUUCUACCAACUUCUGUUGAAGCUAGUUUCAUUUUCUCUAGAAAUUGCAUGAGUAAAAUCAAUUUCAUAAUUAACCCAUUGAGCCACAAUGCAUCCUACUUAUUCUUUUUUACUUGUCUAAAGCCAGACAAUUUUACUUGUCAAUGGGGAAGCUCUGCAGCUCAUUGGGUUAACCAAAAAUAUCUGACUGUAAUCUCUAGUUAACUCAUUGAGCCGCAAUGUGCCCAACUUACAUUUUUUACUUGUCUAAAGCCAGACAGUAUUACUUGUCAAUGGGGAAGCGCUGCAGCUUAAUGGGUUGAGAAAAUGAAACAUUCUUGAGUGAUAUUUGAUGUUGGUAAUUCAUGCAUUUUUGGAGGAAAAUAUUUUACACCAUGGUUAUUUGCCUGACACCGAACCCCAAUAUUUACAUGCUAUUUGUCUGAACUAUUUUCCUCACUCUUUCAACAUGCUAAAAUUAUACAAAUUUCAGUUGAAUUCAAGCAAGUCCUCGGGCCCAAGUUGUCAAGACUAUCACCUUCAUUGUUGGUAGCAUAUAUCUGCUUAAGCCCUGGGUUCAAAUGAGUGGAAUUUCAAGAGCAUUCUGACCGGCUUUGUGCAAACAGGUGGCCUUCCCAGUUAAGAUGAGGGCCAGUUAAGGUUAUGGUUGGGUGCAGGCAAGGUUCAUGUAAACUUAUUGUUAGCAAGAGUGUUAUGUGUACAUAAUCAUGUGUAAUGUGUUGGAUUAAUCAUUAAUGGCAUUUAAACGUUGGGAUCCAGUGUCAAACAAUAACCACAACUGUUGGAAACGGGUCUUCACAACACAAUCACAAAAUUAAUAAAAUAUAUAAUAAAACAAAAAUAAAUUUGCAAAUAUAAUCUGAUAUGUAGUUCACGCUUCGCUAGUGUUUUUCGAUCAACAACAUGUUUGUUACAUUCGUCCCCGGAAUUACAUCACCCUGGGCAAAGUUCCCAGAGGACUAAAUUUCCGACAUUGUGCAAUUUACUUCACAACAAUUAUUAUAUAAAGUAUUUCGUUGUUUUUGUGUAAUAUUAAUUUCUCACAUAAAUUUUUUUUCAGAAAUAAAGCACCAUUGAGCAACUUGGGAAAGAGGAGUCACAAACUGUUGAUGAAUAUAUUUAAUUAACUACAUCCACAUAAAAUACAAUUUUAUUACAGUAUAUUGAUUUAUGGGUUAUUAGAUUACAUUAUUUUCAUAUUUUAAUUAAUUAAAGAUAAAAUUAAAAAAUUAAAUGACAAAAUCAGUGUGAAAAUAUUGCAAUAAUCAAUUAAAAUGUCAAACCAGCCAAUUGUUUCAAUUAUGCAUUUGUGAGUGUAACCUAACCCCCCCCCCCCUUGAGAGAACCCUAUUAUCCCUUUUGAUAAGUGGCGAUGCACCAUAUAAUUUUCCUGUCAAAUGCCAGACAAAUAUACUUGUC
RNAcentral lists this long non-coding RNA (2083 nucleotides) under Paramuricea clavata. The record is from RNAcentral. Lineage: Eukaryota; Metazoa; Cnidaria; Anthozoa; Malacalcyonacea; Plexauridae.